Aedes albopictus (Asian tiger mosquito) is the source of this 1147-nucleotide long non-coding RNA. RefSeq lists it as uncharacterized. The transcript is spliced from 3 exons. Lineage: Eukaryota; Metazoa; Arthropoda; Insecta; Diptera; Culicidae. The record is from RefSeq and is a predicted model, not a curated record.
GAAAAAACAGCACAGUUUGGAACAACCAAAGUUUUUGUUGAAUUUCAAGCUUGCAUUUUUGUUCUUCUCAAUUGGGAUUUUGUUGUUUCAAUGCGACGUCGUUGUUUGCAACAAACUUGAUGCAUUAGUUGUUUCUACCAUUAGAUAUUGGUAAACUCAACGUUGUUUCAUGAUAGCUUCAAAUUAUAUUAUUGGUUGUUUAAAACUGGAAUAUGGUAUGAUUUUAUCAUAUUUUAGGUAGUUCAUGAUUGUUGUGAGAAAAGAGAAUCAAACUAGUGUCUUAGUUAGGUUCAACAAAACUACUGCGUUUAAUUGAUGCAACAUUUUGUUUGAAAACAAUUCAAGUUAAUAUUUUGUUAGAAUCAACCUAAAGCUUCACAUUGGCGGUUCCACCGCCGUGAUAGCUUCGUUCUACGCUCGAUCUACGCCAUAUUGUAAAAUAAUCACAUUCACCGAGUUCAUCGGAGCUACUUCUGCUCCCCUGAAAAACGUACAAUAAAUAUACAUUGUGGUGCUGCGCGUGGAACGGAUUGAAGUAACAUCAAAAACAUUAGAUCGCGUAUGAAAUGCUUUAAUUAAUAGACCGAUGUGGCAUUAUGGAUUUCCCCACGCAUCAAGCAGUUUUUUCAACAUCCUUCGAGCCUCCAAUGUGCAUUUAAAAAAAUAUUAUGUGCUUACAAAGAUCAUCUGAUUCUGAAAGAAGAUUACAAAUAUAGCAAUGAAUAGAACGAAGCUUUAAAUUUGUCUUGUUUUUAUUAAAAGCAAAAAAUAUGGCCAGUUCCCGGGAACUAGAAAACCUGGAUAAAUUAACAAUGAGAUUAGUUGUUUUAACCAAAGCAUUUAUUCCAUUCUAAUUUGUUUUUGGUUCUUCCAAACUAUUUUUCAUAGUUUGAGAUAACCAAAUCUUUGGGUUGUUUUCAAGUUGUUCAACAUCUGUCAAAUGAUAUGACUAAUAUUUUGGUUGUUUGGAACAAAUAUUCGUUGAACCUAAUGAUACAGUCAUGAAAAAUGUAACGUACAAUUUUAGUUUGUGAUUACCUACACGAAUGGUAAAACUAAACUAAUAUUAUGAUUGUGCAAAUUAUAACCUGGAGUUUUGGUUGAAACUGGCCAAACUUUGGUUAUGUUUACCAUAUUUUUUUCUCCG